This 437-nucleotide ribosomal RNA is filed under the name uncultured Oscillospiraceae bacterium. Its description in RNAcentral is "bacterial SSU rRNA". It matches the Rfam family "Bacterial small subunit ribosomal RNA", at positions 341 to 792 of the family's 1533-position model. Lineage: Bacteria; Bacillati; Bacillota; Clostridia; Eubacteriales; Oscillospiraceae. The record is from RNAcentral.
ACGGGAGGCAGCAGUGGGGAAUAUUGGGCAAUGGGCGAAAGCCUGACCCAGCAACGCCGCGUGAAGGAAGAAGGUCCUCGGAUUGUAAACUUCUUUUAUCAGGGACGAAGAAAGUGACGGUACCUGAUGAAUAAGCCACGGCUAACUACGUGCCAGCAGCCGCGGUAAUACGUAGGUGGCGAGCGUUAUCCGGAUUUAUUGGGUUUAAAGGGUGCGCAGGCGGGCUGCUAAGUCUCCGGUGAAAUGUCAGGGCUCAACCUUGGCACUGCCGGAGAUACUGGCGGCCUUGAGAGUGGCGGAGGUAUCCGGAAUGUGUGGUGUAGCGGUGAAAUGCAUAGAUAUCACACAGAACACCGAUUGCGAAGGCAGGAUACCAUACCAUAUCUGACGCUCAGGCACGAAAGCGUGGGGAUCGAACAGGAUUAGAUACCCUGGUA